Molecule: ribosomal RNA, 508 nt
Filed under: uncultured bacterium
Lineage: Bacteria
Description: bacterial SSU rRNA
Rfam family: Bacterial small subunit ribosomal RNA
Source: RNAcentral
CGAACGCUGGCGGCGUGCUUAACACAUGCAAGUCGAACGCGAAAGGGACUUCGGUCCUGAGUAAAGUGGCGCACGGGUGAGUAACGCGUAGAUAACCUGUCUUCAUGUCUGGAAUAAUACGCCGAAAGGGGUACUAAUACCGGAUAUUCUUGCUUUUCAUAAGUUAUGCAAGCAAAGGUGGCCUCUGCAUAUGCUACUGCAUGAAGAGGGGUCUGCGUACCAUUAGCUAGUAGGUGGGGUAAUGGCCUACCUAGGCGACGAUGGUUAGCGGGUCUGAGAGGAUGAUCCGCCACACUGGCACUGGAACACGGGCCAGACUCCUACGGGAGGCAGCAGUGAGGAAUAUUGCGCAAUGGGGGAAACCCUGACGCAGCGACGCCGCGUGAGUGAGGAAGGCCCUCGGGUCGUAAAGCUCUGUCAAGAGGAAAGAAGUGUACAAUGGCUAAUACCUGUUGUAUUUGACGGUACCUCUAAAGGAAGCACCGGCUAACUCCGUGCCAGCAGCCGC